UGAGAGAGUGUGGACCGUGUUUGAGGAUUGCCCAGCUUUCAGUUCUAUGAGUAAUAAAUAUCCACAGGCUGUUUUCUUGGAAGUAGAUGUACAUCAGUGUCAGGGAACUGCUGCCACAAACAAUAUAUCAGCAACACCUACGUUUUUGUUUUUUCGAAACAAAGUGAGAGUUGAUCAAUAUCAAGGAGCAGAUGCUGUUGGAUUAGAAGAAAAAAAUCAAGCAACACUUAGAAAAUGACCCUGGAAGCAAUGAGGGCACAGAUAUUCCAAAAGGCUAUAUGCAUUUAAUGCCUUUUAUUAACAAGGCUGGUUGUGAAUGUCUCAAUGAAAGCGAUGAACAUGGUUUCGACAACUGUUUACGAAAAGACAUGACCUUCUUGGAAUCUGACUGUGAUGAACAGCUACUUAUUACUGUGGCAUUCAAUCAACCUGUUAAGCUUUAUUCCAUGAAAUUUCAAGGGCCAGAUAAGGGUCAGGGUCCUAAAUAUGUAAAAAUUUUUAUCAACCUACCCUGAUCUAUGGAUUUUGAAGAGACAGAAAGAAGUGAACCAACUCAAGCUCUGGAACUGACAGAGGAUGAUAUCAAAGAAGAUGGCAUUGUUCCACUUCCUUAUGUUAAGUUUCAGAAUGUUAACAGAGUAACUAUAUUUGUUCAGUCUAAUCAGGAUGAAGAAGAAACAGCAAGAAUUUCGUAUUUUACUUUUAUUGGUACUCCAGUCCAGGCAACAAAUAUGAAUGACUUCAAAUGAGGUGGGAAACCAAAAAUAGCCUGCAUGUGUUUCAUUUUUAAUUCCUUGUGGCCUGGGGAAGGGGUGUCACAGUUUGCUUCCACAGUGAAAGUACACUGCAUGCGCAGAAAUUCAAGAAUAAAAAUUAAUACCAGGUAGUGGGCAAAAAAGGAGAAAGCCACUAAGAUACAAAAGAUACUGGAAGACCUAUUGCAAUCAGAUUUGCAGCUCCUGGAUAAUUGCUUGAUUCUCUCCAGAGACUGUCAAUGUUUCAUUCAUUGCCAUUACCAAUAAAUCAUUGCUUUUGUUCAGAUGGUAUCACUAGUCUUUCUGUUGUAAUCUUGAUACAUGCAAUUGUAAAUAAAAGUCACUACUUUUGCCAAGCUUAAAUUUUGUCAGUCUACAUAAGUAUUUCUUCUUUCCUUUUAUUUUAAAAUUAGCCAGCUUCUGAUUUUAGAAGAGACUUAAAUGUCUGGUAGCAUAUUGACUGAAGCCUAAUUUCUCUUUUUAGAGGAUCAAAACUGUUGUAGGGAAUCAAGGAGUACAGGUAUACACAAGCACAUAGAGCACUCAGUUUUGAGAAUGGACUUGGAAUAGCUAACCAUGUUCAAAUGAGUAUUGAUUCCUGUUUUCUUUAAAAGAUAUUUGGGUAUUUGGUAUCUGGGCUAGAAAUUAUUCAAAUUAUAAACUGCCAGAAAUAAACAGGCUUAAGGAGAUUUAAUUACUCUUACCUAAAACAGUUGAUGGGUCUCCAAAUUCUUUUCCAUGCCAAAUUUUAAUCCAUUCUGCAUAAACUUUAAAUUUUGAUACUCAUUUUAUGUAGUAAUAAAGGAAUGUCAAAUUCAGACAGCUGGGAAAAAUACGGUACAAUAAAUUUUGAAACAACAGGAAUUCUUUGUAAACCAGUAAUUAUCUGAACUACUAAAACAUGCAACAUAGGAAUAUAGACAACAUGAUUUAAGGUUGAAAAUUAGUUGGCCAAAUGUUUGUGUUUAAAAGAUAUUUAACAAAAGGUUGGUUAAAUAUAGCAUCUGUUCUUUGUUAUUUUUUUAAUCUUAAAAUUAUAAUCUGGAAAAUAGUGAUAAAUUUAAUUUUUAAGUAAGUAUUUUUAAAAUUUAAUGUUUUAAGAACACCAAGACAUAAAGUGUGAUUCAGCUAAUGCAUUUGAAGGCAGUCUUGUCUAAAAGUAUGGUAGAGAUGCUGUUUGCCCUUGGGAGGCUAAUAUGUUUAUAUAUGAUUAUGAAAAAUUAUGUGGAAGUUUUAAUGUUGAAGUGGUCACUUUCUGAAACCCAAGUGUUACUAAUUAAUGUUCAGUUCAUUUGUAUGUGAGUACAGUACCUGGUGGUGUGGUGAUGUCUGUAGUUUAUGUAUUUUACAGUUUUGUUGCCUUGGGUCAAGUGGAGGCAGAAAGGCAAAAAAUAAAAGUUUAUAUCACUCCUAAUAUAGACCAUCUUAUCUUAGAGAUAAGAUUAAUACCAAGGAUUUUGUUUUACAUUUUUGUACACUUAACCUUUUUGGGUAAUUGUUAAAGUGCCCCAUCUUAAGUAUCACUGACCUCAUCCUAUUUAUACUUGACAGUUUAAAAACCCAUAAAAAUGAUUUCAUAUUUGUAAAGGAUUGGGCAUCAGGUUUAUAUUGUUUAUGUGAAUUUUCUAUAACUCAGUUGGUUGCAAUAUACAGACAUUCCAUAAUAAUUCAAAUUGUAAAUAGUGAAAAUGUUUAUAGGUAACUGUAAUGUGUUUCACUUAUGGGAAGUUUUACUAUUACAAAUAAACAUGCUUAACUGACCUUAUUUAAAAUAUCAAGA
Molecule: long non-coding RNA, 2535 nt
Filed under: Marmota monax (woodchuck)
Lineage: Eukaryota; Metazoa; Chordata; Mammalia; Rodentia; Sciuridae
Source: RNAcentral